Molecule: ribosomal RNA, 271 nt
Filed under: uncultured archaeon
Lineage: Archaea
Description: partial 16S ribosomal RNA
Rfam family: Archaeal small subunit ribosomal RNA
Source: RNAcentral
CAGCGCCACGAGUGGGGAUCACGAUUAUUGGGCCUAAAGCGUCCGUAGCCGGUUUUGUAAAUUCCUUGUGAAAUCGUUGGGCUUAACUCAACGGCUGGCAGGGAACACUGCAAAACUCGGGACCGGGAGGGGCUAGAGGUAUUCUGUGGGGAGCGGUAAAAUGCUAUAAUCCACGGAGGACCACCGAUGGCGAAGGCAUCUAGCCAGAACGGAUCCGACGGUGAGGGACGAAAGCCAGGGGAGCGAACCGGAUUAGAUACCCGAGUAGUCC